CUUUUAUUGGCUCUUUUAAUAAGAUCUAAGAAUGAUUAUAAUAAUUUUUUCCUCUUACUUAUAUUUUUAUUAUUAUUAUUUUAAUUUCCAGAGCCUGAACCUGCUGCUUUGAAGAGAUCUUGGGACUGAAGGAGGGCUGAGGCAUUUCUAAGGCUUUCUCUAGUUGGAGUGAGCUGGUCUUGACCUGAAAGUCCUUCGUCUGCCACCAGUGGAUGCAUGGAGAACAGAGAGGCUUGUCUCCAAAGAGUGGUGGAACAAGAGGUGGAAACUGGAUACCAACCAUGUCUGUGUGGAGAAAAACAUCUUGUGCCCGUUUCUUCUUCCUCAUCUUCUCUCCUGUGAUCAUCUGCCACACACCUGCUCCUUCUCCAGGACUCAGGCCCGUCCUGUGCUCCUCUGCAUUUGGCCAAAGGAUGUUUUUAUUCCCAAGUUAAGGUUCUGGGCAAUGGCCACUUUGGUGGCCACAGCAAGGGGGUCAUGGGCACCUAAAUCUGAAAAUGUUUCUCCAACCUGUUAAAACCUUUUCCUGCUCUGUUGACUUUUGUGCUGAUACUGCUGUGCUCUCUGUAGGAGUGACAGGUGUCCUUUUGAGUAUAAACAUCCCUCAAAAUGUUUUACAAAAUCGUUAUGGAUGUAUUGAG
This 641-nucleotide long non-coding RNA is filed under the name Parus major (Great Tit). Its description in RNAcentral is "lncRNA (ENSPMJG00000014439.1)". Lineage: Eukaryota; Metazoa; Chordata; Aves; Passeriformes; Paridae. The record is from RNAcentral.